UGAAGAGGAGAACGACGAUGACCUUGAGGAGAGCACACAGCAUACCAUUCUCCCCAACAGCCAGGAUCUUUUUCUCACUAUGACUGAAAUAUCCUCCCAAGGCGGUAUCCCCGACCACGAAGCCGUAGACGGGACCUCUGCUGCAAAUUUUUCAAGCCUCCCUCCUCCGUCCCAAAGGCUCUCUCAGAUAAGGCAGCG
Non-coding RNA from Chelonoidis abingdonii (Abingdon island giant tortoise), 198 nucleotides. The record is from RefSeq and is a predicted model, not a curated record. NCBI's taxonomy places the organism in Eukaryota, Metazoa, Chordata, Testudines, Testudinidae.